RNAcentral lists this long non-coding RNA (327 nucleotides) under Phascolarctos cinereus (koala). RNAcentral's name for it is "lncRNA (ENSPCIG00000018259.2)". Lineage: Eukaryota; Metazoa; Chordata; Mammalia; Diprotodontia; Phascolarctidae. The record is from RNAcentral.
UUUCCCUUCCAUUCCCCUACAGGUACCAGGCAUGGAACAACAUCUGGAAGUGGCCACUUCUGUGUACAGAAAACCCAAUUUGGCCUGUAAUUAUAGUCUCACCAUCAAGCCUACAUUGCAGUAACAAUUCAUUCUCCCAACUUCAAGAUUCCACAUAGUGCUGGACAUCCAUAGAGUCGAAGAAGAUCUGUUGAAUGUUUAUAGCUGCCAGUCUGAUGUCCUUACAUCUUGGCAUCUCCCCCAUGGCCAUUUACCAUUCUACAACCACCCCUGUCUAUGCCUAUCUCUUGCUGGUAUGAGGGGUAAGGAUAAGUGAUAGCAUGGCAU